Molecule: non-coding RNA, 96 nt
Filed under: Thermoactinomyces vulgaris
Lineage: Bacteria; Bacillati; Bacillota; Bacilli; Caryophanales; Thermoactinomycetaceae
Description: Glycine sequence
Rfam family: Glycine riboswitch aptamer
About the family: This family represents the bacterial glycine riboswitch. Glycine riboswitches usually consist of two metabolite-binding aptamers domains with similar structures in tandem.
Source: RNAcentral
UUGAAUGCGGGAGGAGAGACCAUGCCAUUGGUAUGGCGCCGAAGGAGCAAGCCAGUCACAGGUGAAUCUCUCAGGCAAAAGGAGGCCCGCUGGACG